RNAcentral lists this transfer RNA (85 nucleotides) under Felis catus (domestic cat). It matches the Rfam family "tRNA". From Rfam's summary of the family: Transfer RNA (tRNA) molecules are approximately 80 nucleotides in length. Their secondary structure includes four short double-helical elements and three loops (D, anti-codon, and T loops). Lineage: Eukaryota; Metazoa; Chordata; Mammalia; Carnivora; Felidae. RNAcentral also lists the same sequence under 2 other names. The record is from Rfam by way of RNAcentral.
GCCUGGGUGGCUCAGUCGGUUGAGCGUCCGACUUCGGCUCAGGUCAUGAUCUCACAGUUCGUGGGUUCAAGCCCCGCAUCAGGCU